GGAAUCUUCCACAAUGGACGAAAGUCUGAUGGAGCAACGCCGCGUGAGUGAAGAAGGGUUUCGGCUCGUAAACUCUGUUGUUAAAGAAGAACAUAUCUGAGAGUAACUGUUCAGGUAUUGACGGUAUUCAACCAGAAAGCCACGGCUAACUACGGGCCAG
This 160-nucleotide ribosomal RNA is filed under the name uncultured bacterium. RNAcentral describes it as "partial 16S rRNA". It matches the Rfam family "Bacterial small subunit ribosomal RNA", at positions 358 to 511 of the family's 1533-position model. The record is from RNAcentral.